RNAcentral lists this ribosomal RNA (253 nucleotides) under uncultured bacterium. RNAcentral's name for it is "partial 16S ribosomal RNA". It matches the Rfam family "Bacterial small subunit ribosomal RNA", at positions 524 to 776 of the family's 1533-position model. The record is from RNAcentral.
UACGUAGGGGGCAAGCGUUAUCCGGAUUUACUGGGUGUAAAGGGAGCGUAGACGGCAGCGCAAGUCUGGAGUGAAAUGCCGGGGCCCAACCCCGGAACUGCUUUGGAAACUGUGCAGCUCGAGUGCAGGAGAGGUAAGCGGAGUUCCUAGUGUAGCGGUGAAAUGCGUAGAUAUUAGGAGGAACACCAGUGGCGAAGGCGGCUUACUGGACUGUAACUGACGUUGAGGCUCGAAAGCGUGGGGAGCAAACAGG